Molecule: ribosomal RNA, 309 nt
Filed under: Citrobacter freundii
Lineage: Bacteria; Pseudomonadati; Pseudomonadota; Gammaproteobacteria; Enterobacterales; Enterobacteriaceae
Description: partial 23S ribosomal RNA
Rfam family: Bacterial large subunit ribosomal RNA
Source: RNAcentral
CCUGUACUUGGUGUUACUGCGAAGGGGGGACGGAGAAGGCUAUGUUAGCCGGGCGACGGUUGUCCCGGUUUAAGCAUGUAGGCGGAGGUUCCAGGUAAAUCCGGUACCUUUUUAACGCUGAGGUGUGAUGACGAGGCACUACGGUGCUGAAGUAACAAAUGCCCUGCUUCCAGGAAAAGCCUCUAAGCAUCAGGUAACACGAAAUCGUACCCCAAACCGACACAGGUGGUCAGGUAGAGAAUACCAAGGCGCUUGAGAGAACUCGGGUGAAGGAACUAGGCAAAAUGGUGCCGUAACUUCGGGAGAAGG